UUGACCUCAAAUCGGGUGAGACUACCCGCUGAACUUAAGCAUAUCAAUAAGCGGAGGAAAAGAAACUAACGAGGAUUCCCCUAGUAACUGCGAGUGAAGCGGGAAAAGCUCAAAUUUAAAAUCUGGCGGUCUUUGGCCGUCCGAGUUGUAAUUUAGAGAAGCGUCUUCCGCGB
Molecule: ribosomal RNA, 173 nt
Filed under: uncultured fungus
Lineage: Eukaryota; Fungi
Description: 28S ribosomal RNA
Rfam family: Eukaryotic large subunit ribosomal RNA
Source: RNAcentral